RNAcentral lists this ribosomal RNA (229 nucleotides) under uncultured bacterium. Its description in RNAcentral is "partial 16S ribosomal RNA". It matches the Rfam family "Bacterial small subunit ribosomal RNA", at positions 568 to 796 of the family's 1533-position model. The record is from RNAcentral.
CGCGUAGGCGGUCUCUUAAGUCAGAUGUGAAAGCCCGGGGCUUAACCCCGGAAGUGCAUUUGAAACUAAGGGACUUGAGUAUGGGAGAGGGAAGUGGAAUUCCUGGUGUAGAGGUGAAAUUCGUAGAUAUCAGGAGGAACACCGGUGGCGAAGGUGACUUCCUGGACCAAUACUGACGCUGAGGCGCGAAGGCGUGGGGAGCAAACAGGAUUAGAUACCCUGGUAGUCC